UGAGUAACAACGGUACUAACAUAGCUGCUAUGUCUUCCAAAAUUGCUAAUUCUGCCCAGUCUAUUUGUGAUUUCAUUGGGAUGCUGGUGAUUACACUGGUUAAAAAUUAAUUUAUGCUUUGCAAUGAGUUUUAUUCACAGGGAAUUGCAGUGAUAAAUAUAUUGCUGAUGCGCUGUCUUUCUGUAAGGCUUUUCAUUCAACCUAUAAUUAUGGAGCCACAUUCUUCAAAUGGGCUGUGUUUACGUGGUCUUUGUUGUGUACCUGCUCAAGUUAACAAAUACCUGGCAGCUGCACAGGAGGAGCUGCAGCCCUCUGCAGUGCCCAGAACAGAUCUCGUGGUGCACAUCCAUCAAACUGGCACCUGGAGAACCCUGGAAAGGAUCCUGUGUCUUAAUGAAACUUCUGACAGCUCUGCAAGUGCCUUCAGAGACUCGUCCCUGAGUGGGACAUGGGAGAAGUUAACAGAUUGGUUCCCUCCUCAAUUUAUCAUUUGUCAGGCCUUCAGGAAAGUUCUUGGAUGA
Molecule: long non-coding RNA, 521 nt
Filed under: Parus major (Great Tit)
Lineage: Eukaryota; Metazoa; Chordata; Aves; Passeriformes; Paridae
Description: lncRNA (ENSPMJG00000012142.1)
Source: RNAcentral